RNAcentral lists this ribosomal RNA (440 nucleotides) under uncultured bacterium. Its description in RNAcentral is "partial 16S ribosomal RNA". It matches the Rfam family "Bacterial small subunit ribosomal RNA", at positions 338 to 795 of the family's 1533-position model. The record is from RNAcentral.
CCUACGGGGUGCAGCAGUGGGGAAUAUUGGACAAUGGGGGGAACCCUGAUCCAGCGACGCCGCGUGAGUGAAGAAGUAUUUCGGUAUGUAAAGCUCUAUCAGCAGGGAAGAAAAUGACGGUACCUGACUAAGAAGCCCCGGCUUACUACGUGCCAGCAGCCGCGGUAAUAUGUAGGGGGCAAGCGUUAUCCGGAUUUAUUGGGUGUAAAGGGGGGGUAGACGGUGCAGCAAGUCUGAUGUGAAAGGUCGGGGCCCAACCCCGGGACUGCAUUGGAAACUGUUGAACUGGAGUACAGGAGAGGUAAGCGGAAUUCCUGGUGUAGCGGUGAAAUGCGUAGAUAUUAGGAGGAACACCAGGGGCGAAGGCAGCUUACUGGACUGUAACUGACGUUGAGGCUCGAAAGCGUGGGGAGCAAACAGGAUUAGAUACCCCUGUAGUC